Molecule: ribosomal RNA, 683 nt
Filed under: uncultured Actinomycetes bacterium
Lineage: Bacteria; Bacillati; Actinomycetota; Actinomycetes
Description: bacterial SSU rRNA
Rfam family: Bacterial small subunit ribosomal RNA
Source: RNAcentral
UUCGGUGGGGGAUCAGUGGCGAACGGGUGAGUAGCACGUGGGCAACCUGCCCCUGGCUCUGGGAUAACUCCAAGAAAUUGGGGCUAAUACCGGAUGUGACCGCUGACCGCAUGGUCUGGUGGUGGAAAGAUUUAUCGGCUGGGGAUGGGCCCGCGGCCUAUCAGCUUGUUGGUGGGGUAGUGGCCUACCAAGGCGACGACGGGUAGCCGGCCUGAGAGGGUGACCGGCCACACUGGGACUGAGACACGGCCCAGACUCCUACGGGAGGCAGCAGUGGGGAAUAUUGCGCAAUGGGCGAAAGCCUGACGCAGCGACGCCGCGUGGGGGAUGACGGCCUUCGGGUUGUAAACCUCUUUCAGCAGGGACGAAGCGGAAGUGACGGUACCUGCAGAAGAAGCACCGGCUAACUACGUGCCAGCAGCCGCGGUAAUACGUAGGGUGCAAGCGUUGUCCGGAAUUAUUGGGCGUAAAGAGCUCGUAGGCGGUCUGUCGCGUCGGCUGUGAAAACCCGAGGCUCAACCUCGGGCCUGCAGUCGAUACGGGCAAACUGGAGUGUUGCAGGGGAGACUGGAAUUCCUGGUGUAGCGGUGAAAUGCGCAGAUAUCAGGAGGAACACCGGUGGCGAAGGCGGGUCUCUGGGCAACAACUGACGCUGAGGAGCGAAAGCGUGGGGAGCGAACAGG